AUACUUUAACCUGGCCCAGGAGAUACCGUGAUCACGAAGGCGGUUCUCCUAAGCGAGGCUCAUCAUUGCACUCCGGUUGUCGCCUGACCCUUGCGAUAACCCAAAUGGGGUUAAGUCGAGUGUCGGCAAUUUUUGUAAGCCGGGGACUCCGUUCGCGCUAUAUACCCCCU
This is a small nuclear RNA of Penaeus monodon (black tiger shrimp), 170 nucleotides long. RefSeq annotates it as U1 spliceosomal RNA. NCBI's taxonomy places the organism in Eukaryota, Metazoa, Arthropoda, Malacostraca, Decapoda, Penaeidae. The transcript has a single exon. The record is from RefSeq and is a predicted model, not a curated record.